UACGAAGGGGGCUAGCGUUGUUCGGAAUCACUGGGCGUAAAGCGCACGUAGGCGGAUUUUUAAGUCAGGGGUGAAAUCCCGAGGCUCAACCUCGGAACUGCCUUUGAUACUGGAGAUCUUGAGUCCGGAAGAGGUAAGUGGAACUGCGAGUGUAGAGGUGAAAUUCGUAGAUAUUCGCAAGAACACCAGUGGCGAAGGCGGCUCACUGGCCCGGUACUGACGCUGAGGAGCGAAAGCGUGGGGAGCAAACAGG
RNAcentral lists this ribosomal RNA (253 nucleotides) under uncultured bacterium. Its description in RNAcentral is "partial 16S ribosomal RNA". It matches the Rfam family "Bacterial small subunit ribosomal RNA", at positions 524 to 776 of the family's 1533-position model. The record is from RNAcentral.